This 484-nucleotide ribosomal RNA is filed under the name Streptococcus mutans. RNAcentral describes it as "bacterial SSU rRNA". It matches the Rfam family "Bacterial small subunit ribosomal RNA", at positions 368 to 841 of the family's 1533-position model. Lineage: Bacteria; Bacillati; Bacillota; Bacilli; Lactobacillales; Streptococcaceae. The record is from RNAcentral.
GCAAUGGACGAAAGUCUUGACCGAGCAACGCCGCGUGAGUGAAGAAGGUUUUCGGAUCGUAAAGCUCUGUUGUAAGUCAAGAACGUGUGUGAGAGUGGAAGGUUCACACAGUGACGGUAGCUUACCAGAAAGGGACGGCUAACUACGUGCCAGCAGCCGCGGUAAUACGUAGGUCCCGAGCGUUGUCCGGAUUUAUUGGGCGUAAAGGGAGCGCAGGCGGUCAGGAAAGUCUGGAGUAAAAGGCUAUGGCUCAACCAUAGUGUGCUCUGGAAACUGUCUGACUUGAGUGCAGAAGGGGAGAGUGGAAUUCCAUGUGUAGCGGUGAAAUGCGUAGAUAUAUGGAGGAACACCAGUGGCGAAAGCGGCUCUCUGGUCUGUCACUGACGCUGAGGCUCGAAAGCGUGGGUAGCGAACAGGAUUAGAUACCCUGGUAGUCCACGCCGUAAACGAUGAGUGCUAGGUGUUAAGGCCCUUUCCGGGGCUU